RNAcentral lists this unclassified non-coding RNA (899 nucleotides) under Hevea brasiliensis (rubber tree). The record is from RNAcentral. Lineage: Eukaryota; Viridiplantae; Streptophyta; Magnoliopsida; Malpighiales; Euphorbiaceae.
CAUCUAUAUACAUAGAGAUACACAGCUUCAGGUUCAUCCAAGAUCAGGGACAAUGAAGUACUCCUCAUCGGAAGGUUGUAUCCUGGGCCUCUUAGGAGGCAUACCGAAUUUAGGAGGCCGGUAGUAGGCGGAACUGCUCGCCGGUGAGAUCGGAACUUCAGGAACUUCAGCUGCUGUCAGUGCUCCUCUGGUCAUCUGUCCUUGGAAGAGGUCAAUAUCUGCAAACCAUUGUAGCUCCCCGAAACCACCAGAAAACUCCUUCUGCGUCUUGUCGCCACAUUCAUAAUCGGACAGCUGGAGGAAUUCAUCAACAGUCCAAGUCGAGGGAGCGAAUGGCGAAGGCGACUGCUGUAUUGUAGGAACUUUUGGUGGCAGUAACUCACUUUCUGGUGGCUCCGAACAUCCCUUGCCAUUGUUCUUGUUGCAGGAUGAACUCGGAGCUACACGAAUUCCUGUUGCCAGGAAACGCUGGUGGUCGCCGGACAGGCUGCCAGCAACAUGAAUGGGCUCGUCACAGUCACGGCAGAAGAGAGCUCUAUCCUCCACACAGAAAAUAAAAGCUGGUUUCUCCUGGCAAAUAUCACAGCGCGGGAGCUUGGUAGACAAGCUCUGGAGCAUCAAUCUCUGGUGCUUGCUGGCAAGCUUGUUGGCCGCAUGAAUCUCUACAUCGCAGGCAGCGCAGAGCGCCGCCUCAUCGGCGCAGCAUAUCACAGUCGCCGGCGCCUUCUCGCAGACAUCACACUGGAUCCUCAUGCCUCCCACUCCUCAAUCAAAUACCACGUACUAACCCUUAUGAGUUACCCAUGUUGAAUUACUAUUCUAGGGUUGCAAAAGAGAAGAAGGGUAGUUGGAAACCCUAAUGAAGAAGAAGGCUGAACAGAAAGAAAUCUAGAGAAGGG